This 98-nucleotide small nucleolar RNA is filed under the name Sphenodon punctatus (tuatara). RNAcentral describes it as "Z30 small nucleolar RNA (ENSSPUG00000005890.1)". It matches the Rfam family "Z30 small nucleolar RNA". From Rfam's summary of the family: Z30 belongs to the C/D class of snoRNA which contain the C (UGAUGA) and D (CUGA) box motifs. Most of the members of the box C/D family function in directing site-specific 2'-O-methylation of substrate RNAs. The record is from Rfam by way of RNAcentral. Lineage: Eukaryota; Metazoa; Chordata; Lepidosauria; Sphenodontia; Sphenodontidae.
AAGCAAUGAUGAUUGAAGUAUAGUCUGACUUGGUAUUGCCAAGACUUACCCUUUUGGCUCUGACCAGGGCAUGAUCACGUAAUCUUCUCUCUGAGCUG